Xyrichtys novacula (pearly razorfish) is the source of this 10284-nucleotide non-coding RNA. NCBI's taxonomy places the organism in Eukaryota, Metazoa, Chordata, Actinopteri, Labriformes, Labridae. The record is from the annotation of a GenBank genome assembly.
CUUUAACCACCAACAUUGGCCUUCUCAUUUGAGCACAAGAGUCAUAAAUAGCUGCAUUAAGCCAGAUUCUUUUUCUUGAAGACUGUGAUAUCAAACAUUGCCUAUCAAUAAUAAUUUCUGCUCUCUUUCAAGACGGUUUGUGGCCCUUUUUUUUAACAUCCUCAUCAUCAGCAUGUAGCCUGAGUCACUUUUAGCAUGUUCUCAAACAGAUGGUGGCAUUGAAGCAAAGCUUUACUUAAGUACAACCUCACAUAGCAAUCUGCAAGCUUUUAAGUUUUAUUCCCUUUCUCUUGAGUACUGUUAUGUGAAUGAAUCUUCGGAAGAGGCCAAGAAUUACACUGAGAGAGCAAGUAAAUGUAGCACCUACAGAUGGCGCCAUUUCUUAGCUUAUCCUCACUGGCGUUACUGUAAGUUUCCUUUCAACAAACAGGUUUCCUGGACUGAAAUUCAAAUGUUCAUGCUCUUGUGUAAACGAGUAUUUCCCUCCUUCAGGUCUCUUUGGACUUCAGCAGUCGGUUUCGUUAUGUUAAAUCACUUUUCAAUUGGUCAGCAAGGGCGUAGAGAGGGAGACUGGGCCAAAUACAGGGAUACUGUUACAUGUUAGCAGUGAUUUAAAGGUUUCUAACAAGUGUUCCUGUAGGUUUCAUCACUCUAAUUUCCAUUUCAAAGAGUCAAAGAAAAAGCAGUAGUAUGUCACCUUAAUGUUUCCUUGAGGUUUGGACCAGUGGGUAAGCUCAAAAAGCAAAAGGGAGUAGGUUGUGGAGCAGAGCUCCUGCUAGCACACAUUAAAGCGCAGUUCAGCUGAAUCACUGAGGCCGUCCUUUAGACAACAAAACCUCUGGCAUUCAGCCCAGCGCCAUGAAGGCUACAUGUUGAUAAAGGCAAGAAUAAACAGCACAAUUAGUUAUUACUCCAGCUAGCUUCAUUGACAAAUGUUUUGUAAUUGUUGCUAAGGAACAUGGUGUAGUUUCAGUCCUGGGUGGGAAAGUCCAAUUUAUUGGAUUUCAGAGUGACAUCAAGUUGCCUGGCCUGAGCAAAUGAAUAUUUAUACUCUGUACAGGAUGAACUUAUUUUUUCUCAUCAGUUUGUCCAAUUACCAUGGAAACUGUGUUUACAAGUCAAACCAGUCUCUAUGACAGCACCUAGGGGCCCCUUUUAGCUUCUAUUUUCAAUGUUUCCACACCUCAACUUGGCCCUUAUUCAGGGGUAGGACAGAGUAAAGCCUGAAACUGUGAAUGUUGGAUUAGCUAAAUGCACGCCCCAUUAGAUUUGACUUUAAAGGUCAGUUAGAGUUGAGCAACAAGGAUGGCAAUGUAGCUGUGCCUGCCACUUUGUGAGACAACAUCAAGCCCACUUUACUGAACAAAAUGCAGUUUGUGUUCAGUGAUAGCUAGUAAAGUUAGCAAACAAAACUCAAGCUGAACACUCAGGCAAUGUCUUCCACAUUAACUCGUUGUAACUCUGAAGCUAGCACUGAUUUUAAAAUUUGCCAUAACAAUAAAAGUUUAUUUUUUCAGAUGCUUUUAUUGCAUGCUCAUCCCUGCUGCAGAGGGAGACAGAGCUAAUACUUCGAUGUUUAUAUUUGAUCUGUGUCUCUGUCCAAGUCAUGACUCAUAUUUCAGUCAUGUGUCUGCUACUGCCCUUAAAAACAUUUUUUUUUUUUUGCCUGCCUGAUGAUUUCCAUCUGUUUUGCAGAAAAUCUUGGGUAGGGCAGUAAAGGGUAAAAUCACUUGGCCCUCGACUCAUGCCAGUGCGUGACUCAUUGAGACAUCACUGUGACUUCUGUGUCCUCAUACAGAAAAUCUACAAGGGCAGAGAUCUUUCAAAUAAACAAAGACAGAGCUCUCUUCUUUUUUGUUUUCUUUCCCUCCUCCUCACGUUAGAGAGUAGUAGCUUUAUUCUUGAUGGCUGUCUUGGGCAUACAGUUGCAGUAAAAAAACAACUCUUUUACUGAAGUUCCACACAAGACUUUGAAUCCUUUUUGUGAUUUUUUCUUGCCUACCUUUCAACCCAAAUCUCUGUGCUCAUGCCAACUGACAUUUGUGUUUUUCUGUCAUGAAGGAUUUGCUCUUUUAUUACCCGUUUUAACUUCAGGUGCUUUACAGAUGACGUGUACAGAGCAUGCAGGGCUGUGUCAUUCAUGCCAUCUGUCUUCUUCUCUUUCCAGGAACCUUGAUGUUUUUCUAUACAUGGCUCGUAUGCAGAAUUCCUCACAUUUUGAACAUAUGGAAAGAGCUGUAGGUGGUGGAGUAUAAAGCUGGUGCACAUCUAUAUUGCAAGUAAGACAGUGAGGUGUUUCAUAGUUUAACUUGUUGUAUAGUUUUUAAUUUUAAUCGUUCUAUUUUUCCUUUUUGUUGCUUUCUUUCAGGAGCUUAUUUUACUUCUCCCAGGCCUGUACUUCAUUUACCUUGCAGCUAAUUAUAUCCCAAUACAACAGAAACAAGUAUGUUAUUCCUGAGUUGAAAUCAUCCAGAAAAGUGCAUUAACAUUUGAAGAAUUUAUAACUGUUAUUAUAAUAAUAAAGAGAUGCAUUAGUAGGCUCAGAGUUACAGUUUAUGAGAACUAGUCUAAUCUGAACUUCUUGAUUUAUACUGUUGAUUGUUUUAUUUGGCCCAUAAUACUUCACUGUUUCUUAUACUCUCUGCAUCACAGACUUCUGGUAUAAAAUCUAAAGCAGCAAAGUAACUUGUAACAAAAUAUAGUAGAGCACAAACUGUGAUAAUGCAAUGAAUAGAGGGCUAUAGGUAUACGACAGUCCAAGAUUCAAAUACUCAGAUAAGUAAGAAAAUGUAUAUGGAUAGAUUUGACCACCAAUUUGCAGGUUAUGGUUUUACAAACAAUAAAGUACAAUAAGCUUGAAACAUGAUGCAUUCCCUCAAGUUUCACUGCAGAUUGAAGAUGCUAAUUUAAAACGUGAAGUAUAGGGGUAAUUUAUGGCCUUUUCCUUAAAUAGAGAUGAGAGAGAAGUAGGAAACUUAGCUGAGGAAGAGCAAUAAAAGACAGACCAAAUUAAACAACAAAAGUAGAAACUGUGUUACAUGCAGAACUGUGAUCAGCUGUUUUCACUGAAGUCAAAACGCAAAAGACCAAAAAGCUUCAUCAGAGGAUCAGUCAGUUAUUCUUCCUGGAGUUUUGAAGCAUUCAGUCAAAGUUUAUUCACUAAAAGUCAAGUUUAAUCACCACAUUUUUAAAAAGCUGUUUGUUGUCUCUGACAGACAGACCUGCCCUUUCCUGACCUCGUCUCUGCAUAUUGAUAUGUCCUCUCCGACGAUCGAAGACAUAACUUACUGCUGCUGUCACAGCCAAUAUCCUAAUUUGCUAUUACUCAGGGAUUACCACCCAAGAGAGGGAGAGAGUGGUAAGCCUGUACUUAGCCAGAGACUGACCUGAAGAGCUUUCUCUCCCCCGACUCCCUCUGUCCAUUUUUUACAAUCCAAUUUUGCAUGGAUUUGGUGAAACAUUAUGCAUUGGCUAAAGCAAUUUGUUAUGAUACCGUAGUUCCAAUCCUAGUUUUGUGCCAUAGACUGCUUGCAUUAACAUCUCAUGACACCGACUAAGGACUUAGAGGACUUAGGCCAAUCGGGCAUUAUGUAAGAAAUAGCACAGUGAAAACGACACAUGCACCAAAUUGAACGAUAGGUUCCCGCCAAGAAGAUCUCUUUAUCGGAUUGUCUCGAAAUGAAAGCAUCCCUGCAGUCAUUCACUUUCCCCCUACAGUUCCACCACGGGGUUGUGCUCCUAGUAUAGGCUGAAAGAUGCCUCUGAAGUUCCAUAAACACUGAUUGCAGCUCAAGCUUAUCAGGCAGGAAUUCUGUUUAUCUCCCUGCUCAGUGUGAAGGCUCCUCUUGGAAGUGUGUGACAGUCAGAUGCUUACACUUAACAUAGCCACGGUAAUAUGGGAUUAAGCUUUACGUGCUGCCCUGAAGACUUAGCAGCCAGGACACAGACAAGCGAGCGAGCGUUGGUCUUAUUAGUCAGCUUUGACGAAGACAGUGGGCUCUUGAGGAAGCUAAGUAUCCUGCCAAUAUGUAUGCAAAUCAGAAAAAACGUAUCCCCCCUUUGCACUGCAAAUCAUGUUUUCUGCCUUAAUUUUCACAUUAUAUACUUGAGUGUUAAGUUUAUCCUUCAUCAUGUGCCAUCUUGUUUAUAGUGCAAUGUAAUUCUGCGGCCGAGGUGAGUCACAAGGUUGUCAGCGGAGAACACGGCCAGCUCUGCAGAUAGAUCCAAACAGCGUCUGCAUGUGAGACAGGAUUACACCGUUACCAUGUGACUGGUCUGUCCUUAGACAGACCUCUAACAAAAGACAGGCUAAAUCCAUCCAGGACAACAACCUCUGCCCUGAACUCUUCAAAUGUAAACAAUCAGGAGGACUUCUGUGAGGAGAUGCCUCAAACGGGCUGUGAUGAUGGCAAAUCUUGACCUUGGUAUCAUAGUUCAAAGACCAUAGCAGGCUUACACUUCACUGACAACCUAGAGUGAAUUCUGACUUUGUCCUGAUAUGCAAACUACAAGUAUUAGAUUCUGGUUGGGUUGUAUUAUCAGAUAUGAUGAGAUUUUUAAUGCUCCAAAAUCAGCUUAUACUUUUUUUUUUUUUUUGGUCCAAAUAAGCUGAGGUAUCAUCCGUGUUAGCCUGAAACACCAACUUCAUUUUGUGAGAGAGCAACCUUGGAAAAUUUUGGGGGUAGACUUCUUGAAAAUUACUAGAAAAUGUUAGGAUGUCUGGAAGAGGGUCUUUGUCUGUUCUAGUCUGCAGGUUAUGAACGGGAAAAUCCAAGAAGCAGUAUGAAAGAGUCCAUUCAAACAUUUUAAUCCAAUUAAUUUGGUCAUGAGAUUAUAUUUAAGACUUUAAAUGAUCAUUUUACUGUUAUUGGUGUGAUUUCCCUAAACCACAGCUACCUCUAUUGAUGAUAGUCCUUGUGCUCUCCUUGAUUACAUCAGCAUGGUCUAUGUUUUGAACAGUGGUGAGCUACCUCACAUGUUAGCUAAGGGUUAAAAUCAAGCCGCAGCCUCUAGUUUUGCAAGAUGAAGUCAAAGCGGAAGUGCAAAAAAACUGCUAAUCUCAGAGUGUCUGCUGAAAGCUAGCUGCAGAGGCACUGGAAACCACAUACACACUCAUUUAAAAGACCUCUGCAAAAAGGACCACAGCCUCUAUAUGCAGGGGGUCAAACUUCGAGGCACCUUAUAACUUCACCUUCUACACUCAAAAUGGUUUCUGAACACUGCUACAUGACUUCAAAUGAAGAACUGAAAUUUAGCAUGUACAGUUCUUGACAUGACUGCAUCAGAACGGGGACUUUUUAAGCAGGCUAUUUUAUCUUAAUACAAGUAAAUGUAUAUGACUUGCUUCCCGGUGUUACAACCAGAACCAGAAGUGCUUUAUCAAUCUUAGGGGGGGAAUUCAAGAAGUGUGCUGAGCUACUUUAAAUUCAAGGUUGGUUUUUGUCAGAGUUACAACAGCGAGCCCCCAAACUCGCUUUUUUUUUUCAGUGGCUUUCCUGUUUCCUGCCCAUUUGGCCCUCAGGCAUCAGAAAGUAGUUGUCCUGCUGACAGAACUUUUGUUCUCUGAAGAGAGAAAUCAAUGCUGAAACUCAAGGGGGCUGGCUGGCUUUAAACACACUUUACUUUACUAGAAUGACAUGAGAUGUUGCUUUUUCACCUAAAGAGGAAAUGGCAAGUACAAGUAUGCGCAGCAUUUAACAUGGAACAAAAACAGUGUGUACUUCCCUUUAAUUUGAUUUUUUUUUUUUUUUAAGCGUUUCAAAAUAGAAACGUUUGCUUCACUAUUGGCACAGAGCAUGAACUUAAUGAUUAGUCAACGUGCCUUCACUUCUUGUUUUUGACAUAACAGUCCUGUAGUGUGGUCUGAAACGGUGCUACCAUCUGUAAGCUCCGGAAGGAACACUUUCCCUGUAACACAUGAACACUCUAAGCACAUACGUGUCUGUUUGGCACGGCUCAGACAAUCAUGCUGAACUCCAUGCAAAGACUUCUAGACAUAAGACACUAUCUUCUGCUCUACAUUAGUGUAUUUAAAUGAUGGUUUGAAUAUGUUUUAAACUAAGCAAGAGGUUAUAGGAAUCCUUAUGAAAAGUUUUAGAUUUGAAAGUUAACGUUGUAUUUAUCUGCUUUAUAGAUUUUGUAAGCGCUUUAGUUUUGAAAAUUUCCUCCCCCCUCUCUCUCAUUUUUUAAAAUAAAGAGUGAAUGCUAUCUAUACCAACCAUCAACGAAGUUACCACACUGUUACUAAGAAAAUCAAAGUCUGUAAUUAACUACUUCCUAAUGUUUUAAAUGUCAACUUAAUAUUCAAAGUAAGUAACAGUGUCAUGGCUGAGGAGUGAGUCUGUUAAGUCGUGUCUUUCAGCCUGUUACUAUGACAGCCACUUGACCCUCUGACUAAAAGUCCCCACUAAACUUCUUAGACCGUAACACCGGUGGUCUUACCUGCAUCAUCAUGAGCCUCAGUCAGGUAACAGGAUGAGUAAUCUUGCUGGUGUACCAACAAUUUAAACUAAUUGCAAAUUAACUUGCUUUGGUUAAAAAUAAAGGAUUGAAAAGAAUACAGCAAGAGGAUUAGGGCUGCGUUCACAUGCCCCUCAGGUGGCUCUAGUUUCAAAGUUCAAGGGUGGUUUCUGACUUUGGUGUGUUUAUGUGCUUUCAACUAGGAAAGUGUAGUUUAAUGUGUCCUGUCUUAUGCAUCAAGGUUUAACUCUAAUAAAUACAAAAAUAUUGUUUUAGCUAAUGAAGCUGACCUCAGUGGAGCUCCCUACAUUUCAAUCCCUCAAUCUUGAACUUUUCCUGAACUAAGCUACACCUCUCUAAAACCAUGCAGGUUUUUAGCCAGUCCCAAUUUGUUCAUAAAACUACCUAUAAGUCUGAAAGAGCUGGAUUUAUCAGCACUGUUAACUACAUCCUUAUUGCUAGAAGCUCUGAGUGCUGUAAAGCCGACUUUGGCAGACGUAGUGCACAGUGCUUGGUAACUCUCAGCUGCUGUCUGUAUCUCUUAGAUUGCACGUUGCCAUACACUGUCUUCAGAUUGAACUGCACUCAUUCAUAAGAUGAAAAAUGAGCCUGAUACCAACAUGGACAUUAGCAGAGGUGGGCACAGUUAGUCCAAAGUUUACAAUGAACAAUUGAUCCAGUAUUGAAGAUAUUAACCAUGAUAACAUUAACAUUAAAACCUACUGAAUCAUUGACCACUCCCUUAUCUACAAGGUGCAUAUGCAGUUUGUAAGAUACAUGGUGGCAAAUGGUGGUCCCUCAAUCUUACACCAAACAUAAGAACACAAGCAAGCUGUUGUGUUGCUAUUCAAAUUUCUCCCCUCGACACAGCAGGUGUAUCAUAAUCCAGUCAGAGCAAAUAUGAUCUGAAGAUCAAAUCAUUUUCUCAGACCUUAAACAAAACAAAGGACCGCAGUGCCUCAGCUUCUUUUCAAAGUUGUCAUUGUCUGGUGAUACCCAGGAGAGGGGUUUGUUUCAAUUAACAGACAGAAGCGAGGAUAGGCUUUCUGUGCCCUCGCCCUUAUAAUUGGCUUGGCCCUCUGUGCCUGUUGAUCUUUCUCUGAAGCCUUCUUGCAUCAGGACCGGGCCGUCUGGCUGGAAAAUUAAUUUAAAAGUUAACGUUGACCAUGAUAGAAUACCAAAUCUACUGAGGUGUGCCCAGUUCUACAAAAUAAUUAUCUUGGCCUGUGCAAAGGUUUCCCCUCAUCCAUCAUUCCUCUGUUUUUAAAUGUAAUUGUUAACUAUGCAUUGGCUGAAAUGCUAACGUUAGCUGAGUUCUGAUGUUAGCCAAUAAUCAUACAUGAUUUUUAAGGAAUAGGAUCUCCCCUCUGCUUAUUAAUCAAGAAACUAUAAAAUUACCACCCUUUGUUGGAUUGUUAAAUUACUUACAACCUAAAAUAUAUAGACCCUUUCCAAAAAAUUUGAAUAUCAUGGAAAAUUUUAUUUAUUUCCAUAAUUCUAUUCUAAAAGUUAAACUUUCAUAGAGUAUAGAUUCAGAGCCCACAAUUUAAACAAUUUCAAGUAUUUAUUUGUUUAUUUUUACAUAAUUUGGGCUUCCAACUCAUAAAACCUACAGAAACAGGAAUUCAUAAAAUUAGAAUACUGUGAAGAAACCAGCCCAAAUUUUGCAGGGCAUGAAUGUUUUAAACUGAGUGUCACACACUAAUCAGCUACUAAACCCAAAACACCUGCACAGGUUUCCCCAGGUGUCAUUAAUUUGCUUCAGUUCGGUUCAAUAUGGGGAAGACUGCAGACUUGACAACUGGCCUGACGACCUUCAUCAAUACCCUCCACUGAUACACCUGGGGAAACUGAGGCCCGAACUACACGUAUAUAGAUAUUUAUUUAUCAGGAUAUUUUUGUACCCCGGUCUAAAUAAAUGUAUCUGUCCACACGUGUUAGUUCUCAAAAAUAUCUGCGUCCACACGUAGCCUUCAAACUGAAUCCUAUCUGGUGCCGCAGCAGACGCGUCUGUGAGCUGGCUGACUGUUGGAUGUAAUUGUAUAAAACAAGGUUCACUUGCAAGGCUGAAAUUAGCCCCAAAAGGGCAAAACAAACGUAAAGAAUACCCUGUCUGUCCGCCAUCGUUGUUGUUGUUGUUUUUGUUUCGCAAGCGCAAGUUGCGGUUUGACGUCAUCGAUUAUAAAAGUCCAACCCAUAGACUGUAUAUACUAUUAUAUAUAUCUUAUAUCUUAUAUACAGUCUAUGGUCCAACCACAUGAAUCCACUACGGAUACGGGAUAUGGAUAUUUUUUUAUUUCUCCACUUGUUUUUUUCGGAUUCAGAUUUAUCCGGCUUGAGUGUUCCAAACUGCCGUUUUGGUGUGGUAGGGAGGCCUAAUUGGACAUAAAUAUGUGCGGUUUGGCUUCAAACUCAACACACCUAGACAGGUUUCCUCAGGUAUAUCAAUCGAUUGCAUCAAUGGGUGUGUCCCAAAUGUUUAGUUCUCAAAAAUAUCUGCGUCCACACGUAGCCUUCAAACUGAAUCCUAUCUGGUGCCGCAGCAGACGCGUCUGUGAGCUGGCUGACUGUUGGGUGUAAUUGUUUAAAACAAGGUUCACUUGCAAGGCUGAAAUUAGCCCCAAAAGGGCAAAACAAACGUAAAGAAUACCCUGUCUGUCCGCCAUCGUUGUUGUUGUUGUUUUUGUUUCGCAAGCGCAAGUUGCGGUUUGACGUCAUCGAUUGUAAAAGUCCAACCCAUAGACUGUAUAUACUAUUAUAUAUAUCUUAUAUCUUAUAUACAGUCUGUGGUCCAACCACAUGAAUCCACUACGGAUACGGGAUAUGGAUAUUUUUCUAUUUCUCCACUUGUUUUUUCGGAUUCAGAUUUAUCCGGUUUGAGUGUUCCAAACUGCCGUUUUGGUGUGGUAGGGAGGCCUAAUUGGACAUAAAUAUGUGCAGUUUGGCCUCAAACUCAACACACCUAGACAGGUUUCCCCAGGUGUAUCAAUCGAUUGCAUCAAUGGGUGUGUCCCAAAUGUAUAACUCAAUCCUUAACCCCUUAACCCCCAUAUGGGAUUUCACUAUACAGCUUUUGUCAUGUAGUGGGCUCAAUCACCACUACCACUUUCAGACACUACAUCGAAACCGUUGUGAAGACUACUGCUGGAGACGCAAUGCAUGACGGGAUGCCCACCACCAGUGAGUGACCAUCGGAUGGUCACUACAUUUUGCAAUACUCCAUAGAAAAUUCUGAGUUGCCUAUAUGGGGCAUUGGAAUUGACCCCUCAGGUUUCGGACACCUCUCAAAAUGGCGCUAACACCCAUAUAGUCGCCUAUAUAGGCGUUGGGGAUCCAUGUCGGGCACAGCCAAUAAUGGUCUACUGGCCAGUUGUCAAGUCUGCAGCCUCCCUUAUAUAGAACUGAACUAAGGCUGUGUCUGAAAUGAAUCACUCAAUCCCUAACCCCUAACCCCUAUAUGGGGUUUUACUAUAUAGUUGACUAUUUAGUGAACUCAAUCAUGGGAGGUUUUGGACACUACAUGGCAUGAUGCAAUGCACGACAGGAUGCCCACCACCAGUGAGUGACCUUUGGAUGGUCACUUCAUUUUAGAAUACUCUAUAGGAGAUUUUGAGUCCUAUAUAGGGCAUUGGAAUCGAUCACUCAGGUUUCGGACACCCCUCAAAAUGGUGCUAACACCCAUAUAGUCGCCUAUAUAGGGGUUGGGGAUCCAUUUUGGACACAGCCAAUGACAAUUGAACUGAACUGAAGCAAUUAAAUGACACCUGGGGAAACCUGUGCAGGUGUUUUGAGUUUAGUAGAUGAUUAUUCAUGCCAAAUUUGGGC